CGCAUGCACACACUCGUGGGACAACACUGAGGGUUGUUACUCUGUGCAAAAGCACUUGUAAGGAACUCCUGCAAGUUUCCCCUCGUGGGUUCCACCCUCGUUCUGUCACAAUACAAGCUCAGCGCUGGCAUGUCACGACGGCCUGCGCGUGAGGAGGUGCGGGUGGGGAGACGGGGGGCGGAUACGUACGCGGACGGUGAUCCUCCGAAGCCGGCGAGGGUGGAGCUGCGGGACGAGCUGCAGUAAGGGGUGCAGCACAGACGACUGUCAGCGUGAACACAAGAAGAACCGUGAAGUCAAAGGUUUCCCGACACCACAGCGGCACCGGCGUGACAGGUGCACAGAAACACUCGCACAGCUGUAGCUACCCAUGUAAAUGUGAAGAAGUGUCGCCUGCUGCACGUCUGCUCGAGAAGCUCCCUCGCACCGUCACUGCGAGACCGUGGGCUUGUGUUCUGCUCGCAGCGCCACACGCUGCGCAGGACAUGACUGUAUGGAAGAGGGUCCCGAACAGCAACAGAACACAUGGCUCAUUGCGCAGCCCCUCUGCCUCUUUUUCUGCCUUUCCCGGCUAAAGGCGCAGGUGUGUAACGACCGUCUGAAAAGAGCAGCACCUGAGGACCCCCGGCAGCUCCGCUCCCGGUGUCCCCCCCGCGUGUCCCCGCAGACCCUGAGGGCCCGAAGCAAAUACACGCUCCGCCGCCCGCAAAAAUCCAAAGAGGGCCUCGUGACGGAGCAGAGCAAUUACAGACGAGGUAAUGAAAGGGUCGGGAAGGAGUCCUUCUGCGCGACAGGCUCUUAGAGCCGCCUUUACCGUGAAUAACGCACCACGUUCCCUUGAAAGACGAGGUAAAGGGUCCCUUUCAAGUUGCCACAGCGACGGCGCACGUUACCCGCUGGACCUGAGCUCGAACCCAUAAACACGGUGAAAGCGUGGGAGAGCGCAGCGAGCCGCGGCGCAGCUCUGUAAAGCACCACAGGGUCCGUGCGUGAGGCCACACGCGCCAACGGAGCGCCGGUCCUCGCGUCACUUCACCCGUGUUUCAUAUGUGUCGCUGGUUUCUUUUUUCCUUCCCUUCGCUUUCGCACGACUCUACGAAUCUUAUUACGCAUAAACAAAGUGUUGUGUUGUAGCCGCA
This 1139-nucleotide long non-coding RNA is filed under the name Scleropages formosus (Asian bonytongue). RNAcentral describes it as "lncRNA (ENSSFOG00015025510.1)". Lineage: Eukaryota; Metazoa; Chordata; Actinopteri; Osteoglossiformes; Osteoglossidae. The record is from RNAcentral.